RNAcentral lists this ribosomal RNA (440 nucleotides) under uncultured bacterium. Its description in RNAcentral is "partial 16S ribosomal RNA". It matches the Rfam family "Bacterial small subunit ribosomal RNA", at positions 338 to 795 of the family's 1533-position model. The record is from RNAcentral.
CCUACGGGUGGCAGCAGUAGGGAAUUUUGCGCAAUGGGCGAAAGCCUGACGCAGCAACACCGCGUGAAUGUUAAGCCCUUCGGGGUGUAAAGUUCUGUCAAUAGGGACGAAUUUUGACUGUACCUAUAAAGGAAGCACCGGCUAACUACGUGCCAGCAGCCGCGGUAAUACGUGGGGGGCAAGCGUUGUCCGGAAUCAUUGGGCGUAAAGCGGUCGUAGGCGGGAAGGUAAGUCUGAUGUUAAAGCCCGGGGCUCAACUCGGGUUCGGCAUUGGAUACUAUCUAGCUAGAAUGUGGUAGAGGUAAAGGGAAUUCCUGGUGUAGCGGUGAAAUGCGUAGAUAUAAGGAGGAACACCGGUGGCGAAAGCGAUUUACUGGACCGUUAUUGACGCUGAGGAUCGAAAGCGAGGGGAGCAAAUGGGAUUAGAUACCCUUGUAGUC